CCACGGGUGGCUGCAGUGGGGAAUAUUGGACAAUGGGCGAAAGCCUGAUCCAGCCAUGCCGCGUGUGUGAAGAAGGCCUUCGGGUUGUAAAGCACUUUCAGUGGGGAAGAAAGCCUUGGGGCUAAUACCCUCGAGGAAGGACAUCACCCACAGAAGAAGCACCGGCUAACUCCGUGCCAGCAGCCGCGGUAAUACGGAGGGUGCGAGCGUUAAUCGGAAUUACUGGGCGUAAAGCGCGCGUAGGCGGUCUGAUAAGCCGGUUGUGAAAGCCCCGGGCUCAACCUGGGAACGGCAUCCGGAACUGUCAGGCUAGAGUGCAGGAGAGGAAGGUAGAAUUCCCGGUGUAGCGGUGAAAUGCGUAGAGAUCGGGAGGAAUACCAGUGGCGAAGGCGGCCUUCUGGACUGACACUGACGCUGAGGUGCGAAAGCGUGGGUAGCAAACAGGAUUAGAUACCCUGGUAGUC
This 464-nucleotide ribosomal RNA is filed under the name Vreelandella stevensii. RNAcentral's name for it is "partial 16S ribosomal RNA". It matches the Rfam family "Bacterial small subunit ribosomal RNA", at positions 339 to 795 of the family's 1533-position model. The record is from RNAcentral. Lineage: Bacteria; Pseudomonadati; Pseudomonadota; Gammaproteobacteria; Oceanospirillales; Halomonadaceae.